UCGGCCCGGGCGCACCUUUUCUCCCUCCUGCCACAAUGUGAGCGCUCAGCCGCGCAGAUAACCGCCGGCUGCCUGCUCCACCCCCGGCCCUCGCCCACUCCGCCCACUCCCGAGCGCCCAGGUGACAAUCCUACAGAAGGCUUCCCCACAUUCUUUGGAUUCCUGGUUUCUUCCUCAGGUGAGCAGUGCUGUUUGGAAUCACAGGACAGCAGAUUUCCCCACAGCCCCAAAUACUUUUCACUGCUGCCAGUCACACCUAAAGACAACUGCUUUCCUGCUGGUUUCAAUGGGCACAGCAGCACCUCUCCCAGCAUCUGCGGGAGCUAUGCCAGUUUCAUGACCAAGAAUUCUACCCCUGGGCCAAGGUGCCUUGGAGACAGAGCCACCAAGUUGCAGGAAGGACCCUAGGAAAGCCCCAGGAGAUCAGCCAAGCAUGUUCUGGCUUCCAUCCGCUUCCCAGUUAUCAGAGGAUGCUGGCUCCAGGAAUGGAGACUUUUUCCACUGCAGGAGAACAAUGUGGUGCCUCCUGGAUCGUGCCGUGUGAGCGUCUCACUAGAAGCUUCUGCAAUCCUCCCAGCGAGGCACUCUCUGAGAUGUGAAGAAGCGGGAAGGAAGUCUCUAUGGGACCAUGGUGGGCAGCACGGAAGAGCUUGGGGGGCAGCCGUGAGCGCUGCUCUGUCUCACUGCAUCUGUCUCCAUUAGCGUCUGUCCUCCCCGCUCAAGCCGGUCCCUCCGCUCCAUGGCAGGAGGGCCUAUCUUCCCUGCGACACACAAAGAGCGACUUCAGUGGCUGUCACAGUGCCUGGUCCAUAGCCUCUGUUCUGUAGAUGUUUGCCGAGUGAGUUGGCUAUAAACAUGGGAAGGUUUCCCUUGGAAAGGUUGAUGCUGCUGUUCAGAUGUUGAGCAUUGCAGCACUGAUAUUUGUGUGCUACGGAUGGGAAGGAACGAGGUUGGGAAUGGGAAGGGACUCUACUGGGCAGUAAGAAUGAAAGCUUGUAGCAGGGUCCUGAAAACCCCCGGAAGCUCAGAGGGUAUCUAAUUGGCUUUGAGAAACUGCUGUGGGCUCUCUGGAUCACUCCUAGAAGACAGCAAGUGAGUGGAAGUCUUCACAGUGAAUCUAAAGAUGGCCCGACACAGUGGGGCGCUCAAGAGAUACUCUUGUGCUGAGGGCUGGAUCUUUUGGCUGGGUGGGUAUCAAGAUACCAGCAAGCCUUCUUGUGAAGCUUGCUUCCUGUGUGUGUGAAACUCCAGGGAACAGGCAGACUGAUGGCAUAGGUAGAGUCGGCAACCCCCACUGCCAGGGAGGAAGACGAUGUCUCUGGACUCAACUCAGAGGUUCUCCGAACAGAAAGACUUGUUUUUCUCCAGAGAGCUUCCUGAGAGCAGAGAAGAUAUCUCACGUAUCUCACAUGGUAACCAGGUAACCUGCCAUGCUCGUAGUAGCUGCUUAAUAAGCUCAAGUGACUGCGUAGCUGUUGGCUGGCUCUGGGAGAUGUGGACCCCAGGAGCGCUAGUGGAGGCUGCUGGAGCACUUUCUUUCUGUCCUCCAGCUCCCACAGCCUAUUCUGCGUUGACCCGCUUUUUUCCUUUAAGCCAGAAGAUGUUUCCAGGGGCUGCUGCUCUCUAAGUGAUGUGCACGGGUGGAGAAAGGAGAUGGGGCCUCAGCCCGCUGACAGUUAGAGCGCUCCCUUCCUUCUCCAGUGGGUGCCUAGAGGGCCAGAACCCAUUCCACUCAACUCCUUAGCUAGCCAUCAGUCUUCCCUUCUCAUUCCCUUCCAGCCCUUCUCCCUUUCAUCUCAGCUCAGCGAGCAGAGACACGUCCCCGCUGGAAGCUGGUGUUAAGAAACGUGGCCACAACACACGUGGACACACACAACACACACACACCUUUCUCAGUCUAUGAGCCUUUGUCUGGCCCUUUGCUCCUGGGCCUGACCCAUCUUUAUGAGAUCAAGGCUCUUUCUAUCCCAGGAUGCCGAACCCUGGCCUCCGAUGGGACAGAGCUGGUCAUUUUGCACGUCUCCAGCCUUGCCCUCCCUUGGGGGCUUGUGGAAGAUCCACCCAUAUGGCAGAACCUUCCAGAGAGACUCGAAACCAGGAGCCUGACCUCAUGAUGCCCGAAGCGCCUGGCACAGAAGGUACCAGCUCUGAUGUCCUGGCCCAAGCCCAGUUCUCGCUUCUAGAAUCCACACCUUCUCUGGCUCUCCUCCAGCCCUACCCCAGCUUAGAGAGAAUAAGAACGGCUGCAGGAAGGACGUGAAGGAAGGGAAGGACUGAGGCGAUGAAGGACAAGCGAGCCACUGCAGCCACGCUCCCGAAUACAAGCAUCCUUUGUUCUAUGGGAUAAAUACAGUCCUCAGUAUUUCAGCUGCGCAGCGCCGAUGAAGUAGAAAGGCAGCUUAUUCUCUGAGAUCCAAGACCCACGACUUAAAAACUUUUGCUGAAAUCAAAGCCUUUGUGAAGCAUUACAUCUUGUUGUUGUUUCGAGGCAGGGUCUCAGUGUGUAUCCCUGACUGUCCCAGAACUAACUGCCUACUCUUGAACUCACAGAGACCCACCUGUGCUAGAACGAGAGGCGUGCGCCACUGUGUUUGGCUAAGGUAUCAGUCACAUCUUAUCAGCAAUAACAUUUUAACA
This is a long non-coding RNA of Psammomys obesus (fat sand rat), 2637 nucleotides long. RefSeq lists it as uncharacterized. The record is from RefSeq and is a predicted model, not a curated record. Lineage: Eukaryota; Metazoa; Chordata; Mammalia; Rodentia; Muridae. The transcript is spliced from 5 exons.